RNAcentral lists this ribosomal RNA (496 nucleotides) under uncultured bacterium. RNAcentral describes it as "partial 16S ribosomal RNA". It matches the Rfam family "Bacterial small subunit ribosomal RNA", at positions 29 to 507 of the family's 1533-position model. The record is from RNAcentral.
AUGCACGCUGGCGGCGUGCCUAAUCCAUGCAAGUCGAGCGAACGGACGAGAAGCUUGCUUCUCUGAUGUUAGCGGCGGACGGGUGAGUAACACGUGGAUAACCUACCUAUAAGACUGGGAUAACUUCGGGAAACCGGAGCUAAUACCGGAUAAUAUUUUGAACCGCAUGGUUCAAAAGUGAAAGACGGUCUUGCUGUCACUUAUAGAUGGAUCCGCGCUGCAUUAGCUAGUUGGUAAGGUAACGGCUUACCAAGGCAACGAUGCAUAGCCGACCUGAGAGGGUGAUCGGCCACACUGGAACUGAGACACGGUCCAGACUCCUACGGGAGGCAGCAGUAGGGAAUCUUCCGCAAUGGGCGAAAGCCUGACGGAGCAAUGCCGCGUGAGUGAUGAAGGUCUUCGGAUCGUAAAACUCUGUUAUUAGGGAAGAACAUAUGUGUAAGUAACUGUGCACAUCCUGACGGUACCUAAUCAGAAAGCCACGGCUAACUACGUG